Molecule: ribosomal RNA, 1375 nt
Filed under: Salmonella enterica
Lineage: Bacteria; Pseudomonadati; Pseudomonadota; Gammaproteobacteria; Enterobacterales; Enterobacteriaceae
Also listed under: 1 other name
Description: partial 23S ribosomal RNA
Rfam family: Bacterial large subunit ribosomal RNA
Source: RNAcentral
UGAAGCAACAAAUGCCCUGCUUCCAGGAAAAGCCUCUAAGCAUCAGGUAACAUCAAAUCGUACCCCAAACCGACACAGGUGGUCAGGUAGAGAAUACCAAGGCGCUUGAGAGAACUCGGGUGAAGGAACUAGGCAAAAUGGUGCCGUAACUUCGGGAGAAGGCACGCUGACACGUAGGUGAAGUGAUUUACUCAUGGAGCUGAAGUCAGUCGAAGAUACCAGCUGGCUGCAACUGUUUAUUAAAAACACAGCACUGUGCAAACACGAAAGUGGACGUAUACGGUGUGACGCCUGCCCGGUGCCGGAAGGUUAAUUGAUGGGGUCAGCGCAAGCGAAGCUCCUGAUCGAAGCCCCGGUAAACGGCGGCCGUAACUAUAACGGUCCUAAGGUAGCGAAAUUCCUUGUCGGGUAAGUUCCGACCUGCACGAAUGGCGUAAUGAUGGCCAGGCUGUCUCCACCCGAGACUCAGUGAAAUUGAACUCGCUGUGAAGAUGCAGUGUACCCGCGGCAAGACGGAAAGACCCCGUGAACCUUUACUAUAGCUUGACACUGAACAUUGAGCCUUGAUGUGUAGGAUAGGUGGGAGGCUUUGAAGUGUGGACGCCAGUCUGCAUGGAGCCGACCUUGAAAUACCACCCUUUAAUGUUUGAUGUUCUAACGUGGACCCGUUACCCGGGUUGCGGACAGUGUCUGGUGGGUAGUUUGACUGGGGCGGUCUCCUCCUAAAGAGUAACGGAGGAGCACGAAGGUUGGCUAAUCCUGGUCGGACAUCAGGAGGUUAGUGCAAUGGCAUAAGCCAGCUUGACUGCGAGCGUGACGGCGCGAGCAGGUGCGAAAGCAGGUCAUAGUGAUCCGGUGGUUCUGAAUGGAAGGGCCAUCGCUCAACGGAUAAAAGGUACUCCGGGGAUAACAGGCUGAUACCGCCCAAGAGUUCAUAUCGACGGCGGUGUUUGGCACCUCGAUGUCGGCUCAUCACAUCCUGGGGCUGAAGUAGGUCCCAAGGGUAUGGCUGUUCGCCAUUUAAAGUGGUACGCGAGCUGGGUUUAGAACGUCGUGAGACAGUUCGGUCCCUAUCUGCCGUGGGCGCUGGAGAACUGAGGGGGGCUGCUCCUAGUACGAGAGGACCGGAGUGGACGCAUCACUGGUGUUCGGGUUGUCAUGCCAAUGGCACUGCCCGGUAGCUAAAUGCGGAAGAGAUAAGUGCUGAAAGCAUCUAAGCACGAAACUUGCCCCGAGAUGAGUUCUCCCUGAGACUUUAGGUCUCCUGAAGGAACGUUGAAGACGACGACGUUGAUAGGCCGGGUGUGUAAGCGCAGCGAUGCGUUGAGCUAACCGGUACUAAUGAACCGUGAGGCUUAACCUUACAACGCCGAAG